Non-coding RNA from Cyanistes caeruleus (blue tit), 809 nucleotides. NCBI's taxonomy places the organism in Eukaryota, Metazoa, Chordata, Aves, Passeriformes, Paridae. The record is from RefSeq and is a predicted model, not a curated record.
AGUACCUUAGAGUCUCUUAAAAGUUAUGUAAGGAGAAAACUGUUCCAAGAACAAUUGUGGAAACUGGAAAACUGUGCUAUCUGAACUUAAUAAUCUGGUUUACUUUUGCGACGAUUUAAUCUGCAUGCAAUGCGUAAGCUGGAAAGGUCCCUGUGUCACUGCUGACAAGCUGCAAUUCUCAGAGGUGCCCAGCUGAAAGUCCUAUAUCAACUGAUUUGCUGUCUAGCUUUAAUAUGGCAGGGCUUCAACCACUUUCAUUUUCAGCAACUCAAGUAUCACAGCCCUAAUAUUCUUUGCCCCUUGAAUGGUCACGCUUCUUGAUGUGCAGAUUCUGACCCUACCAAGGCCAUUAUCAAACCUGGAUUCAACUGGCCAAAUGCUUGAAGGCACAAGUCUGGAGCAAGGGAUUCCUUCUACCUAACAUGACAUAAAGCCUCUGCUGAAUUAAUUCAUCCCAGUUUAAUCCAUGUGUUGAGAAGGUCUCUGCCUUCCUGGAACCACCUGAUGCAAUUGGAAUUUGAAGUUUUUAUGGAAAUUGGAGUUUUCAUGAAUUUGGAAAAUAGAUCUCAUAUUCCCAUAGGCACAAGUACAUGAGUGCAUACAUUGUAUCUUAAUUAUCUUAAUUAGUCUUCCGGGGCUGUUAGACUUUCUUGAGGAGGUUUGAACCAUGGAUCUGUUCUCACACCAAGCUUUGGGUCUUAGCUACCUGUGGGACUCCAUAUAGAUUUAUUAUCCUAAAAACAGAGUACAGUACCCUAGUCAGAUAUUAUUUAGAGAUUAUUUGGAUGCUGUACUGCAAAUUAAAUUAA